Molecule: long non-coding RNA, 933 nt
Organism: Numida meleagris (helmeted guineafowl)
Lineage: Eukaryota; Metazoa; Chordata; Aves; Galliformes; Numididae
Exons: 3
Source: RefSeq, a predicted model, not a curated record
CUCUUACAACGUUGUCCUUUUUUUUUUCCUUCUGAAGUGUCCUUGAAAUUCUCAAGUGAGAAUUUAUGGGAUAAUAGAAACAUUGACAAUAUAUUUCCAGUGCCUCCCAACCAUCCUUAUGCCUCCUAGCACAGAUGUUCUUCAAAACUGACAAGUGACUGACAAGAACAGCAAGACAACUUGACAUCCCUGCCUUAUCAUUCGAACAGAACUGGUAACUAAAAAGUUUUCCAGUCCUGGUAUAGGUCGAGUCAAAGCUCCUUUCCUGAAAAUUUCCCAAGGAACACAGGAAACAUGCAAACACAGGAAAGAGAAUGAGGCUGAUCAAAGCAAUGUGACUGAGAGCUGGCACUUACUAUGCAUGCUAGAAGCAGUACCAUUUUUUCUUACUGGAACUAAAUACAGUGAAGGUUUUACUUAUCACAGCCCUCCUCUUCAAUUAUAUGUUUCUACCAUACUACUUACACAGUGAAACUCUUCCUGUUACAUACCAGAAAAGCCCUGAGGAGCCCUGUGUAGGUAAAACAGUUGCAUACCACCAUUUUAAAUCAGUCUGACAAAUAGGAAAACAGACCUUUAGGAGGAUAAUGCCCUAUCAGCCAUAUCCUUGUCAUAAUCAUGCCCUCCAUCCUGAAAGGACCUACUUCUUCCAAGCCAUGCCAGUUUCAAGCUGCCUGUUUGAUGGAUGCACUCAACUAGAAAUAAAGUAAUUUGACUGUUCUUGGAUCCUUAAGAUGUCUCUGAAGAUGACUCUAGAUUAAAUGUCAAAUGAGAAGUAUGACGUAUUUUAGUUCACUUUUGCAUUUUUAGUCAAUAUAAAUGUCACACAAAAUAGCAUUAUGGAGCAAGCAGCUUUUUUAUUCCUGCUUCUCAACUUAUACUCUGUACCCAAAACACAACAGAGAACUUCACACUAUAUCCCUUGAAAUCUUU